UAAUGUUUCAGUUAAAAACUUUUGCUUUUGAAUGGAUUGUUAACUAAUAGUAUCUGUUGACAAUUUUAUAAAGACACAACAUAUAAAUAAGUUUAAAAAUCAGAUACUUCAUUGGUUUAUUCCUUGCAAAAGACUUGUUAGUAUUUUUCAAAUAUGAUAAAACUUAUUAACUUAUUAUCAUCUUUCAUUAUUUUUGGAUUGUAUACUUCUUUAUCUGUGGAUUAAUAUUUAAAUCACAGUACAAGCAUGCCUAAUGUUGACUUGUUGUUUAGAUCCGGCUAGACAUAGAGAGUUUUUGAGAUUCCAUAAGUAUAAAUCACGUAUUUCAUAUAUAACCACAACCAAUAUAACGUAAUUAAUCUAUAAACAAAGUGAAUAACCCAUUCUUAAUGUUAGCUUGUUGUUUAUUAAUAUAUUUUCUUUAUAUUUUCACUGUUAGUUUUCAUUAUGUUAAUAAAGUUUUCAUUAUGUUAAUAAAGUUGUUGCAUCUUCCACAGAACUUACUUACAGAUAGUUGCUUAUAGGGUUUUGUUGUUAUUUUUAGUUCAAUCUACCCAGCCUAUCACUGCAACAUCUUCAUCUGCAAUGAGUGCUCUAGUUCCAUCAUCAACUGCAUUGGGUGGUAAGCUUAAAAAUAUUUUUAUUGCAUGCUUCAAAAAACCUGUUCAUAUAAGUAUGUAUUUCAGAUCAAUUGCAAUAUUUAUUUUUUAUUACACUUUUUAUAACUUAGUU
Molecule: long non-coding RNA, 732 nt
Organism: Hydra vulgaris (swiftwater hydra)
Lineage: Eukaryota; Metazoa; Cnidaria; Hydrozoa; Anthoathecata; Hydridae
Source: RefSeq, a predicted model, not a curated record